RNAcentral lists this ribosomal RNA (253 nucleotides) under uncultured bacterium. Its description in RNAcentral is "partial 16S ribosomal RNA". It matches the Rfam family "Bacterial small subunit ribosomal RNA", at positions 524 to 776 of the family's 1533-position model. The record is from RNAcentral.
UACGUAGGGGGCUGGCGUUGUCCGGAAUCAUUGGGCGUAAAGGGCGCGUAGGCGGCCAGAUAGGUCGGGUGUGAAAGUCACAGGCUCAACCUGUGAAUGCCGCUGGAAACUGUCUGGCUAGAGUCCGGAAGGGGCGAGUGGAAUUCCUGGUGUAGCGGUGAAAUGCGUAGAGAUCAGGAAGAACACCGGUGGCGAAGGCGCUCUGCUAGGCCGCAACUGACACUGAGGGACGAAAGCUAGGGGAGCGAAUGGG